RNAcentral lists this ribosomal RNA (301 nucleotides) under uncultured bacterium. RNAcentral describes it as "partial 16S ribosomal RNA". It matches the Rfam family "Bacterial small subunit ribosomal RNA", at positions 509 to 807 of the family's 1533-position model. The record is from RNAcentral.
CAGCCGCCACGGUAAUACGAAGGGGGCUAGCGUUGCUCGGAAUGACUGGGCGUAAAGGGCGCGUAGGCGGUUUGUACAGUUGGAUGUGAAAUUCCUGGGCUUAACCUGGGGGCUGCAUUCAAUACGUGCAGGCUUGAGUGUGGAAGAGGGUUGUGGAAUUCCCAGUGUAGAGGUGAAAUUCGUAGAUAUUGGGAAGAACACCGGUGGCGAAGGCGGCAACCUGGUCCAUUACUGACGCUGAGGCGCGAAAGCGUGGGGAGCAAACAGGAUUAGAUACCCCCGUAGUCCCUGUCUCUUAUAC